AUUGAACGCUGGCGGCAUGCCUUACACAUGCAAGUCGAACGGCAGCACGGGUGCUUGCACCUGGUGGCGAGUGGCGAACGGGUGAGUAAUACAUCGGAACGUACCUUAUCGUGGGGGAUAACGCAGCGAAAGCUGUGCUAAUACCGCAUACGCCCUGAAGGGGAGAGCGGGGGAUCGCAAGACUCCGCGGGAAUAGAGCGGCCGAUGCCUGAUUAGCUUGUUGGUGGGGUAAAAGCCCACCAAGGCGACGAUCAGUAGCUGGUCUGAGAGGACGAUCAGCCACACUGGGACUGAGACACGGCCCAGACUCCUACGGGAGGCAGCAGUGGGGAAUUUUGGACAAUGGGGGCAACCCUGAUCCAGCAAUGCCGCGUGAGUGAAGAAGGCCUUCGGGUUGUAAAGCUCUUUUGUCAGGGAAGAAACACCGGCUCUAACACAGUCCGGGAAUGACGGUACCUGAAGAAUAAGCACCGGCUAACUACGUGCCAGCCGCCGCCGUAA
RNAcentral lists this ribosomal RNA (501 nucleotides) under uncultured bacterium. RNAcentral describes it as "partial 16S ribosomal RNA". It matches the Rfam family "Bacterial small subunit ribosomal RNA", at positions 29 to 523 of the family's 1533-position model. The record is from RNAcentral.